RNAcentral lists this ribosomal RNA (371 nucleotides) under uncultured organism. RNAcentral describes it as "partial 16S ribosomal RNA". It matches the Rfam family "Bacterial small subunit ribosomal RNA", at positions 527 to 896 of the family's 1533-position model. The record is from RNAcentral.
GUAGGUGGCAAGCGUUGUCCGGAAUUAUUGGGCGUAAAGCGCGCGCAGGCGGUUCUUUAAGUCUGAUGUGAAAGCCCACGGCUCAACCGUGGAGGGUCAUUGGAAACUGGAGAACUUGAGUACAGAAGAGGAAAGCGGAAUUCCACGUGUAGCGGUGAAAUGCGUAGAGAUGUGGAGGAACACCAGUGGCGAAGGCGGCUUUCUGGUCUGUAACUGACGCUGAGGCGCGAAAGCGUGGGGGAGCAAACAGGAUUAGAUACCCUGGUAGUCCACGCCGUAAACGAUGAGUGCUAAGUGUUAGGGGGUUUCCGCCCCUUAGUGCUGCAGCUAACGCGUUAAGCACUCCGCCUGGGAGUACGGCCGCAAGGCUG